CUGACACCUGGUUACCCACAGGUGGAGGAUUUCACUCCCCAAGUAUAAGGACCCUUCAGUUGAGGCAGUGAGAGCCGACCUCUUCAGGGUUCCCUUUCAGUCUCCUGAGGUUUGCUGAGUGGGAUUCUUUCAGAUGAUUAAAGAGGAGGCAGGCAGAGUGAAUGGAAACCGUCUGCUCCGUGUCCCCCACCCCUCUAGGGGUCUUGGAGUUCAAGGCUCUCUAUCCUCCAGCCAGCUGGUGAGCUUGUUGCUCAUUGGAGUGGCUGCUUGGGGCAAGGGCCUGGGUCUGGUGUCCAGCAUCCACAUCAUCGGCGGAGUCAUUGCUGUGGGAGUCUUCCUUCUCCUUAUUGCAGUGGCUGGACUGGUGGGUGCUGUCAACCACCACCAAGUCCUGCUGUUCUUUUACAUGAUCAUCCUUGGUUUGGUCUUCAUCUUCCA
This 438-nucleotide small RNA is filed under the name Pan troglodytes (chimpanzee). RNAcentral's name for it is "processed transcript". The record is from RNAcentral. Lineage: Eukaryota; Metazoa; Chordata; Mammalia; Primates; Hominidae.